UUAGAACAAUACGUAUGACUAUGGGUAAUUUAGGCAAGGCUGUAGUUAAAGCGAGGUAUACUCAUUUUUCAAAAUUUUAUAUGUAGUUGCCUUCUCAAGACAAUAUGGGCAAAGUGAGUACAUUUAGUGGGAUCCUUGCAGGGAGCCGAAGACCCCAUGGGAUAUGACCAACUCAGCAUUCCACUGGAGGCUAUAUGAUCAAACAGCAAACUGUUUAUCAUGAAUGCAGGAUGUGGGCAAACUCACGACUACUCCCACUGCCAGAAGGUUUGCUGAGGGCCAUCGCUUCCUGGUGCCGAGCUCCUUGUCCACUAGAGGCAAGGUGCCCCCUAACUCCUUCUUCCAGAUAUACUCUUUUGUCUCUUGUCUUUUAUUCCCGUGUUCAUCCCCCUUUGUUCAGUCCACCAGGGAUCGUGGCACGUUACAUAGUGGUGCCCCGAACAGCGACAGAAUCAGGUGCUCUACAAGUGGCACUCAAACAGGCGACAGUCUGAACACGGGACUAUGAGGAUGUGAAUGAAGAAGAUUUCCUGGAACAGAGGAACUGAAAUUGACAACGCAAAUGGGGACCCUGGGAUGAGUCAGCUGGCAGCGCACGUGAGGGGGAUAUGCAGGGAGCCGAAGGCCCAUGGGACGUGACCAACUCAGCAUUCCACUGGAGGCUAUAUGAUCAAACAGCAAACUGUUUAUCAUGAAUACAGGAUGUGAGCAAACUCACGACUGUGCCUGCCGCCAGAAGGUUUGCUGAGGGCAAUCGCUUCCUGACGCCGAGCUCUUUGAAGUUAUCUACUGGAACAUCUAGAGAAUGCAGUCUUGCAAGCCUACUCUGGACCAACCAACUGACCUCUUCUUCCACCCCUCUUCUCACUAUCGCUUUUGUCUAAUAAAUACAGAGGGCCGUGUAAAGCUCAGGGCCUUGUCCACUAGAGGCAAGGUGCCCCCGGACCCCUUCUUCCAAAUAUACUCUUUUGUCUCUUGUCUUUU
This 984-nucleotide long non-coding RNA is filed under the name Pan troglodytes (chimpanzee). Its description in RNAcentral is "long non-coding RNA NONPTRT008602". Lineage: Eukaryota; Metazoa; Chordata; Mammalia; Primates; Hominidae. The record is from RNAcentral.